GAUGAACGCUGGCGGCGUGCCUAAUACAUGCAAGUCGAGCGAACAGACGAGGAGCUUGCUCCUCUGACGUUAGCGGCGGACGGGUGAGUAACACGUGGAUAACCUACCUAUAAGACUGGGAUAACUUCGGGAAACCGGAGCUACUACCGGAUAAUAUAUUGAACCGCAUGGUUCAAUAGUGCAUGACGGUUUUGCUGUCACUUAUAGAUGGAUCCGCGCCGCAUUAGCUAGUUGGUAAGGUAACGGCUUACCAAGGCGACGAUGCGUAGCCGACCUGAGAGGGUGAUCGGCCACACUGGAACUGAGACACGGUCCAGACUCCUACGGGAGGCAGCAGUAGGGAAUCUUCCGCAAUGGGCGAAAGCCUGACGGAGCAACGCCGCGUGAGUGAUGAAGGUCUUCGGGUCGUAAAACUCUGUUAUUAGGGAAGAACAAAUGUGUAAGUAACUAUGCACGUCUUGACGGUACCUAAUCAGAAAGCCACGGCUAACUACGUG
This 497-nucleotide ribosomal RNA is filed under the name uncultured bacterium. RNAcentral's name for it is "partial 16S ribosomal RNA". It matches the Rfam family "Bacterial small subunit ribosomal RNA", at positions 28 to 507 of the family's 1533-position model. The record is from RNAcentral.